CCGGGAAACUGGGGAUAAUACCCUAUAGGUUACAGACGCUGGAAUGCCCUGUAACCGAAAGUUCCGGCGCCUCAGGAUGGAUCUGCGGCCGAUUAGGUUGUUGUCGGGGUAACGGCCCAACAAGCCAGUAAUCGGUACGGGUUGUGGGAGCAAGAGCCCGGAGUUGGAUUCUGAGACACGAAUCCAGGCCCUACGGGGCGCAGCAGGCGCGAAAACUUUACAAUGCGGGCAACCGUGAUAAGGGAACCUCGAGUGCCUGUAUAUGCAGGCUGUCUGAGUGUCUAAAACACACUCAAAGAAAGGGCCGGGCAAGACCGGUGCCAGCCGCCGCGGUAAUACCGGCGGCUCGAGUGGUGGCCACUUUUAUUGGGCUUAAAGCGUUCGUAGCUGGGUUGUUAAGUCCCUUGGGAAAUCCGGCGGCUCAACCGUCGGGCGUCUAAGGGAUACUGGCAGUCUUGGAACCGGGAGAGGUGAGGGGUACUUCGGGGGUAGGAGUGAAAUCCUGUAAUCCUCGAGGGACCACCUGUGGCGAAGGCGCCUCACCAGAACGGCUUCGACAGUGAGGGACGAAAGCUGGGGGAGCAAACCGGAUUAGAUACCCGGGUAGUCCCAGCCGUAAACGAUGUGCGUUAGGUGUAUCGAUGACCACGAGUCAUCGAGGUGCCGAAGGGAAACCGUGAAACGUACCGCCUGAGAAGUACG
RNAcentral lists this ribosomal RNA (702 nucleotides) under anaerobic methanogenic archaeon E15-1. RNAcentral's name for it is "bacterial SSU rRNA". It matches the Rfam family "Archaeal small subunit ribosomal RNA", at positions 132 to 839 of the family's 1478-position model. The record is from RNAcentral.